This 253-nucleotide ribosomal RNA is filed under the name uncultured prokaryote. RNAcentral describes it as "partial 16S ribosomal RNA". It matches the Rfam family "Bacterial small subunit ribosomal RNA", at positions 525 to 777 of the family's 1533-position model. The record is from RNAcentral.
ACGGAGGGUGCGAGCGUUAAUCGGAAUUACUGGGCGUAAAGCGUGCGUAGGUGGUUCGUUAAGUCCGUUGUGAAAGCCCCGAGCUCAACUUGGGAAUUGCAGUGGAUACUGGCGAGCUGGAGUGCGGUAGAGGAAGGUGGAAUUCCCGGUGUAGCGGUGAAAUGCAUAGAUAUGACCCGGAACACCGAUUGCGAAGGCAGCCCACUAAGCAAUGAUUGACGCUGAGGCACGAAAGCGUGGGGAUCAAACAGGA